Molecule: ribosomal RNA, 363 nt
Filed under: Helicotheca tamesis
Lineage: Eukaryota; Bacillariophyta; Thalassiosirophyceae; Lithodesmiales; Lithodesmiaceae
Description: partial Eukaryotic small subunit ribosomal RNA
Rfam family: Eukaryotic small subunit ribosomal RNA
Source: RNAcentral
UUGCAGUUAAAAAGCUCGUAGUUGAACUUCAGGCCUGGCCGGGCGGUCCGCCUAACGGUGUGUACUGUCUGGCUGGGUCUUACCUCUUGGUGAACCUGCAUGCCCUUUACUGGGUGUGUAGGGGAACCAGGACUUUUACCUUGAGAAAAUUAGAGUGUUCAAAGCAGGCCUACGCCCGAAUACAUUAGCAUGGAAUAAUAGAAUAGGACGUGCGGUCCUAUUUUGUUGGUUUCUAGGAUCGCCGUAAUGAUAAAUAGGGACAGUUGGGGGCAUUUGUAUUGCGUCGCUAGAGGUGAAAUUCUUGGAUUGACGCAAGACAAACUACUGCGAAAGCAUUUGCCAAGGAUGUUUUCAUUAAUCAAG